Molecule: long non-coding RNA, 600 nt
Filed under: Manihot esculenta (cassava)
Lineage: Eukaryota; Viridiplantae; Streptophyta; Magnoliopsida; Malpighiales; Euphorbiaceae
Description: long non-coding RNA (MESC_LNC003640)
Source: RNAcentral
UGGAAUCAACAGAUCAUGGUUGAUCUUUUAGGGCAUGAGCAUCACUGAUGGAUUGGAUGCUAUGCUCCUUUCAAAUCCAUAAAUCGCCGUAAAACAUCUUUCGAUUUUUCUUUUUUGGCAUUUAAUACCGUAGUAGUAUUUAAAAUUUAAAUACUCUCAAGUAAUACUCAGGUCGUAGCUGCAACUCCGAACACAAAUAAAUUUCCGGUGCUGAAAAGUGACGAUUGAAUACUUGUGGCGCGGCAUUGAAUUGCAAACGAUGAAGAAUUUGGAGAGAGACAGAGAGAGAAAGGGGAAAUUGGGAUUUAGCGAAGGGGAAUGGGAGGAUGUUUAAUAAUGGAGUGUGUCGUUCACGAGACAAGUGGCGGAGGAGGAGCUGUACUUUGAGAGGGACGGAAGUUUUCCCAAUCACGGAGCAAUUGGCGCUGCACUAAGCCAGUUCCACUCCUACAACCCCACACUGAUAGCGACUCCUCCCCUGUGGACCCCACUCCCAGCAAUUUAUUUAUUUUUCCUUUGUUUGCUUCAAAUUUUAAAACUGCAAAUUCUUAAGCCUUUCUCCUUAUAUGAGCAAUAUUCGUUUUUUUUCUCUUUUUUAAA